This is a long non-coding RNA of Alosa sapidissima (American shad), 262 nucleotides long. RefSeq lists it as uncharacterized. The transcript has 3 exons. Lineage: Eukaryota; Metazoa; Chordata; Actinopteri; Clupeiformes; Clupeidae. The record is from RefSeq and is a predicted model, not a curated record.
CACGAAGGCUUGGUUUACUUCCACCUGUACCACCCCCACCAAUGGCAGAGCUUGUACAAAGACAAGUCAGGAGAGGACUAGGACCUGAUUUACAGUCGAGUUCUCCCCAGUGAAGCCAGAAUUGCAGCAUCCAGUGUACGCAUAGUGCAAGCCUCUGGCAGAGAGAAGGAUUGGGACCAAUGGGACACCCACCAACAUUCACACUAUCCAUGCAAAUAUGAGUACAUUUUAAUUUGUAGUUCACCAUCUUACUUUGUCUAGG